RNAcentral lists this transfer RNA (52 nucleotides) under Mniodendron camptotheca. RNAcentral's name for it is "partial tRNA-Phe". It matches the Rfam family "tRNA", at positions 1 to 50 of the family's 71-position model. Rfam says of the family: Transfer RNA (tRNA) molecules are approximately 80 nucleotides in length. Their secondary structure includes four short double-helical elements and three loops (D, anti-codon, and T loops). Further hydrogen bonds mediate the characteristic L-shaped molecular structure. tRNAs have two regions of fundamental functional importance: the anti-codon, which is responsible for specific mRNA codon recognition, and the 3' end, to which the tRNAs corresponding amino acid is attached (by aminoacyl-tRNA synthetases). tRNAs cope with the degeneracy of the genetic code in two manners: having more than one tRNA (with a specific anti-codon) for a particular amino acid; and 'wobble' base-pairing, i.e. permitting non-standard base-pairing at the 3rd anti-codon position. Lineage: Eukaryota; Viridiplantae; Streptophyta; Bryopsida; Hypnodendrales; Spiridentaceae. The record is from RNAcentral.
GUCGGAAUAGCUCAGUUGGUAGAGCAGAGGACUGAAAAUCCUCGUGUCACCA